RNAcentral lists this ribosomal RNA (613 nucleotides) under Salmonella enterica. Its description in RNAcentral is "partial 23S ribosomal RNA". It matches the Rfam family "Bacterial large subunit ribosomal RNA", at positions 576 to 1190 of the family's 2925-position model. RNAcentral also lists the same sequence under 1 other name. The record is from RNAcentral. Lineage: Bacteria; Pseudomonadati; Pseudomonadota; Gammaproteobacteria; Enterobacterales; Enterobacteriaceae.
GAAUGCUUUGGGGUGGGGUGACUGCGUACCUUUUGUAUAAUGGGUCAGCGACUUAUAUUCUGUAGCAAGGUUAACCGAAUAGGGGAGCCGGAGGGAAACCGAGUCUUAAUUGGGCGUUAAGUUGCAGGGUAUAGACCCGAAACCCGGUGAUCUAGCCAUGGGCAGGUUGAAGGUUGGGUAACACUAACUGGAGGACCGAACCGACUAAUGUUGAAAAAUUAGCGGAUGACCUGUGGCUGGGGGUGAAAGGCCAAUCAAACCGGGAGAUAGCUGGUUCUCCCCGAAAGCUAUUUAGGUAGCGCCUCGUGAAUUCAUCUCCGGGGGUAGAGCACUGUUUCGGCUAGGGGGCCAUCCCGGCUUACCAACCCGAUGCAAACUGCGAAUACCGGAGAAUGUUAUCACGGGAGACACACGGCGGGUGCUAACGUCCGUCGUGAAGAGGGAAACAACCCAGACCGCCAGCUAAGGUCCCAAAGUCAUGGUUAAGUGGGAAACGAUGUGGGAAGGCCCAGACAGCCAGGAUGUUGGCUUAGAAGCAGCCAUCAUUUAAAGAAAGCGUAAUAGCUCACUGGUCGAGUCGGCCUGCGCGGAAGAUGUAACGGGGCUAAACCAU